This 85-nucleotide transfer RNA is filed under the name Felis catus (domestic cat). It matches the Rfam family "tRNA". Rfam says of the family: Transfer RNA (tRNA) molecules are approximately 80 nucleotides in length. RNAcentral also lists the same sequence under 2 other names. Lineage: Eukaryota; Metazoa; Chordata; Mammalia; Carnivora; Felidae. The record is from Rfam by way of RNAcentral.
GCCUGGGUGGCUCAGUUGGUUAAGCAUCUGACUUCGGCUCUGGUCAUGAUCUCACAGUUCGUGGGUUCGAGCCCCACGUCAGGCU